GGUGGUUGUUAAGCAGAAAUUGUCCAGUCAGUAAUUAGACAAGCCCAGCCUCUUCUUUCAAAAAGAUUCUGGCCAAAUUCUGGAGGUACUCUUUGCAGAUGUCCAACUUGGCCCACCUGAAGCCCUGUGCAAAAAUUUGUUCAAUGAAAGAAGAUAACGUGCCAUCUGGUAUUCUUCUCUGUCGACAUUGUUGCCCAACUGGUGGACAGCAAAGAGGCAGGCUGAGAGAGAGAGGAAGAAGCAGGCUCCCUGCCGAGCAAAGAGCCCGAUGCGGGGCUCGAUCCCAGGAUUCCGG
Molecule: long non-coding RNA, 295 nt
Organism: Mustela lutreola (European mink)
Lineage: Eukaryota; Metazoa; Chordata; Mammalia; Carnivora; Mustelidae
Exons: 3
Source: RefSeq, a predicted model, not a curated record